AUUGAACGCUGGCGGAAUGCUUUACACAUGCAAGUCGAGCGGCAGCGCGGCCUUCGGGCUGGCGGCGAGCGGCGAACGGGUGAGUAAUGCAUCGGAACAUGCCCAGUCGUGGGGGAUAACACUUCGAAAGAAGUGCUAAUACCGCAUACGUCCUGAGGGGGAAAGCGGGGGAUCGCAAGACCUCGCGCGAUUGGAGUGGCCGAUGUCAGAUUAGCUAGUUGGUGGGGUAAAGGCCUACCAAGGCGACGAUCUGUAGCUGGUCUGAGAGGAUGAUCAGCCACACUGGGACUGAGACACGGCCCAGACUCCUACGGAGGCAGCAGUGGGGAAUUUUGGACAAUGGGGGCAACCCUGAUCCAGCCAUUCCGCGUGAGUGAAGAAGGCCUUCGGGUUGUAAAGCUCUUUCGGCAGGAACGAAACGGUGGGCUCUAACAUAGUCCGCUAAUGACGGUACCUGAAGAAGAAGCACCGGCUAACUACGUG
This 483-nucleotide ribosomal RNA is filed under the name uncultured bacterium. RNAcentral's name for it is "partial 16S ribosomal RNA". It matches the Rfam family "Bacterial small subunit ribosomal RNA", at positions 30 to 507 of the family's 1533-position model. The record is from RNAcentral.